Long non-coding RNA from Carassius gibelio (silver crucian carp), 1521 nucleotides. RefSeq lists it as uncharacterized. The transcript has 4 exons. Lineage: Eukaryota; Metazoa; Chordata; Actinopteri; Cypriniformes; Cyprinidae. The record is from RefSeq and is a predicted model, not a curated record.
AGAUCGGGCAUUGACUCUUGUCACGGGGUGACGAAAGGGAAGCGGAACUAAGUCCCGCCGGAAUUUUGUGUUCCCCUCGGGACGGUGUCGCGGUAACACCGGUCCACUUCCGGGUUGCGCCCGAUGUCGCAAUAACAACGCUAAUGACAGAUUGACAUCUGGUGUGGGGAGUUUGAUGUGGCGAUCUGUGAGAGGAUUAUGGAGGCGGAGUAACCACAUAAAAAGAGAAGUGCAGAGACCAUGAGGAGGGUUGUGGAUUCUAUUUGGUCGUUCGUUCUCCCGGCUAUUCUUCCUGGUUGGCUUGCCCCCGUGUGUGGUUCUUCUCUUUGGACGUGUUCCCCUAGGAGAGGUGAAUUCCUGGGACGUUUGGGCUGGCGUGUGGAGGUAUUUGAAGACUAUUGUGGGGUUUCGGUUAUCUGGCUGUGUAACAGAUAUAUCAGCGAUCGAGUGGAGAUAUUCAGGACAGAAAGAGUGUGAGCUCUGGAAAGUAAGUGAAGACCAGGCCGCGCCAUCACUAUCGGAGGGAAGUUAAGAGACCUGAUCUGGGACUUCGAUCAAUUGUAUACAUCUGGACUGGGAGUGAUAACGUUGUGAAGUGGACGGAGUCAUCGUUGGAUCGCAGGAUCCUCUGGGCCGAAUGCCGCAUGUGAUGUCCCUAGGAAAAGAGAUCGCAGGAUCCUCUGGGCCGAAUGCCGCAUGUGAUGUCCCUAUGAAAGGAGGUGGACACAAGAAUUAUUCCUUUCCCGGUCACAACCGAAGCCUCUCCCAGCCGUAAGCCCCACUACUUAUUCAAGAACGCAUACUUGCUGUUGAUUACCUACUCUGCUGUGCAGAUCGCAGGAUCCUCUGGGCCGAAUGCUGCAUGUGAUGUCCCUGUAGAAAGAGGUGGACACACGAAUUAUUCCUUUCCCGGUCUUAACCGAAGCCUCUCCCAGCCGUAAGCCCCACUACUUAUUCAAGAACGCAUACUUGCUGUUGAUUACCUACUCUGCUGUGCAGAUCGCAGGAUCCUCUGGGCCGAAUGCUGCAUGUGAUGUCCCUGUAGAAAGAGAUCGCAGGAUCCUCUGGGCCGAAUGCUGUAUGUGAUGCCCCUGUAGAAAGAGGUGGACACACGAAUUAUUCCCUUCCCGGUCUUAACCGAAGCAUCUCCUAGCCGUAAGCCCCAUUACUUAUUCAAGGACACAUACUUACUGUUGAUUACUUACCCCGCUGUGCAGACCACAGGAUUCUCUGGGCCGAAUGCUGCAUGUGAUGUCCCUGUAGAAGGAGGUGGACACGAGAAUUAUUCCUUUUCCCGGUCUCGACCGAAACAUCCACAAGCUCUACUUACCCGGAUACCCCCUCUCACUCCGGGACGGGUGACAGACUACCCUGGCUCUUGCUGGCCCCGUACAGGCACAAACUGCCGACGACUCCACGCCUUCCCGGCGUCCGAGGUCUGGCUCCGUUCUGGUCGGGAGACACGGAAGGAACACUGAACUUUUAAAUUGCUUUUAAUCAAAUAAAACCUUGUUCAUUUUU